Molecule: long non-coding RNA, 1875 nt
Filed under: Anas platyrhynchos (mallard)
Lineage: Eukaryota; Metazoa; Chordata; Aves; Anseriformes; Anatidae
Description: lncRNA (ENSAPLG00020015238.1)
Source: RNAcentral
GGGGGAGUACCCAUGGGUGCUCACCCCCCUCCCCCCUUUAUUUCCCCCCCCCAGAGGCUGAAGAAGCGGCGCCCACCCCCCUCCCCUCCUCCUCCUCCUCCUUCUCGUCCAGGUAAGGUGCCCCCCCCCCCCCCCCCCCCCCCCAAAAAAAAAAAGCCUCCCCCCCUCCCCCUAAAUGUCCCCAAAUGUCCCCCCCGUCCCCAAAUGUCCCCCCCCCAUGCCACUUUAUCCUGCAGGUGCCCCCUCCCCGGCCUCCCUGGUGGUGCUGCGGCGGCGGCAGAAGGUGAGUCCCUUGAGGGGGGGAUGUGACAGGACCGGGGGGGGGGUCCGUUCGUGUCCCCCCCCCCCCCUUAGCGUCCCCUGCUGUCCCCAGGGCUGUCCCCAGUGGGAGGCGGUGGCUGCCCCCCAGCUGGAGGCGGGGGUCCGGGCCCACGUCCUGCAGGCGCUCAACGGGGGGGACCCGGCACAGCUGCGGGGGCUGGGGCCACGCCGGGGGGGGCGCGUCCGAGCCUGGCGCCAGGAGCAUGGCCCCUUCCGCACGGUGGAGGACCUGGCGGCGGUGCCCGGCUUCACGGUGGCGCAGGUGGCCACGCUGCUGCAGGCCAAUGUCACCGCUGCCCUGGGGACAGCCCCGUUGGGCCCCGCGCCCCAAUAAACACCCACGAGCGCCGACCCCGCCUGGCUGCGUGCGCCUGGGGGAGGUGACCCCAAGACACCAAGGUGCCACCAAGGUGACCCCAGGACAAGGAGGUGACCCCAAGCCAUUGAGGUGACCCCCAAGUCACCGAGGUGCCACCAAGAUGACCCCAGGAAAAGGAGGUGACCCCCCAAGCCACCAAGGUGUCCCCAAGCUGAGGAGGUGACCCCUGAGCCACCAAGGAGAUGUCCCCAAGCCAAGGAAGUGACUCUGAGCCACCAAGGUGUUCCUGAGCCACCAAGGUGUCCCCCAAGCACCAAGAUGACCCCAAGCCACCAAGGUGGUCACCAAGGGGACCCCCUGAGACAAGGAGGUGACCUCUAAGACACAAAGGUGUCCCCAAGCUGAGGAGGUGACGCCAAACACCAAGAUGACCCUAAGCCACCAAGGUAACCCCUGAGACAAGGUGACCCCAGGCCAUCAAGUUGGGCCCAACCACGAGAUACUGAGAUGAGCCCAGGCCCCCAAGAUGACCCCCAAACUACCAAGGUGACCACAAGAGGUCAAGCUGACCAUGAGCCACCAAAAUGGCCUCUGAGCCACCAAGGUGACCGCAAGCCACCAAGGUGACCCAAGCCAUGGGAAAAGUCCUUCCAGAAGGUUCUCCACAACCCCUACCCCAUGCUGCAGAAGACUCCCUGCACCCAGAGGACCUCCUCUCCAUCCUACGCCCACCUCGGCACCCGCGGGCUGCUUCCUCCUGCAAGAGGACCCUUGAGGGACUGAGACUUGGGCAUCGGAGCUCCUCCACCUUGUGUUCUUGGUGGGGCUCCAGCAUCUCCUGGUGCUCACCACGUGGUCCAAAAGCUUCCGUUCCUUGAGUUGCCAUUGGGACCUCGUGCAGAAGACCACUCGUUGGGACCUCACGGCCAAGACCUCGCCCGUUGGGCCAUCAUCGUGCAGAAGACCUCACCCUCCUCAGCAGGUGCCGGUGAUGGUGGGACUCAAUCUCUGGGCUUCUCCACCCAAAUGUCGGGUGCUGCAGUUCAGGAUCUUGGCACCAGAGGGCUCCCGGACCUGCAGAAAUUGCUUGUUUUGGGAGGAAAAUUCUUUCCUCUGCACUCCCACAUGGCCUUUGCUCGUUUUUUGUUUUUUUUGUUUUUUUUUUUUUUCCUUUUUCCCCUUUCCCUUUUUAAAAAAUAUAUAAUAAUAAUUUUCCCUUAAUAUUUGUAAUAUCU